GCUAAGGUAGGACUGAUCAGAGAGACGUGGCUAAGGUAGGACUGAUCAGAGACGUGGCUAAGGUAGGACUGAUCAGAGAGACGUGGCUAAGGUAGGACUGAUCAGAGACGUGGCUAAGGUAGGACUGAUCAGAGACGUGGCUAAGGUAGGACUGAUCAGAGACGUGGCUAAGGUAGGACUGAUCAGAGACGUGGCUAAGGUAGGACUGAUCAGAGACCGUGGCUAAGGUAGGACUGAUCAGAGACCGUGGCUAAGGUAGGACUGAUCAGAGAGCGUGGCUAAGGUAGGACUGAUCAGAGAGCGUGGCUAAGGUAGGACUGAUCAGAGAGCGUGGCUAAGGUAGGACUGAUCAGAGAGCGUGGCUAAGGUAGGACUGAUCAGAGAGCGUGGCUAAGGUAGGACUGAUCAGAGAGCGUGGCUAAGGUAGGACUGAUCAGAGAGCGUGGCUAAGGUAGGACUGAUCAGAGAGACGUGGCUAAGGUAGGACUGAUCAGAGAGACGUGGCUAAGGUAGGACUGAUCAGAGAGACGUGGCUAAGGUAGGACUGAUCAGAGAGACGUGGCUAAGGUAGGACUGAUCAGAGAGACGUGGCUAAGGUAGGACUGAUCAGAGAGACGUGGCUAAGGUAGGACUGAUCAGAGAGACCGAGACAUGGCUAAUGUAGGACUGAUCAGAGAGACAUGGCUAAGGUAGGACUGAUCAGAGACCGUGGCUAAGGUAGGACUGAUCAGAGACCGUGGCUAAGGUAGGACUGAUCAGAGACCGUGGCUAAGGUAGGACUGAUCAGAGACCGUGGCUAAGGUAGGACUGAUCAGAGACCGUGGCUAAGGUAGGACUGAUCAGAGACCGUGGCUAAGGUAGGACUGAUCAGAGAGACGUGGCUAUGGUAGGACUGAUCAGAGAGACGUGGCUAAGGUAGGACUGAUCAGAGGGACGUGGCUAAGGUAGGACUGAUCAGAGAGACAUGGCUAAGGUAGGACUGAUCAGAGAGACCGAGACAUGGCUAAUGUAGGACUGAUCAGAGAGACAUGGCUAAGGUAGGACUGAUCAGAGAGACUGAGACAUGGCUAAUGUAGGACUGAUCAGAGAGACUGAGACAUGGCUAAGGUAGGACUGAUCAGAGAGACAUGGCUAAGGUAGGACUGAUCAGAGAGACAUGGCUAAGGUAGGAUUGAUCAGAGAGAUUGAGACAUGGCUAAGGUAGGACUGAUCAGAGAGACAUGGCUAAGGUAGGAUUGAUCAGAGAGAUUGAGACAUGGCUAAUGUAGGACUGAUCAGAGAGACAUGGCUAAGGUAGGACUGAUCAGAGAGAUUGAGACAUGGCUAAUGUAGGACUGAUCAGAGAGACAUGGCUAAGGUAGGACUGAUCAGAGAGACAUGGCUAAUGUAGGACUGAUCAGAGGCGUGGCUAAGGUAGAACUGAUCAGAGAGACAGAGACAUGGCUAAGGUAGGACUGAUCAGAGAGACAUGGCUAAGGUAGGACUGAUCAGAGAGACAUGGCUAAUGUAGGACUGAUCAGAGAGACAUGGCUAAGGUAGGACUGAUCAGAGAGAUUGAGACAUGGCUAAUGUAGGACUGAUCAGAGAGACAUGGCUAAGGUAGGACUGAUCAGAGAGACAGAGACAUGGCUAAUGUAGGACUGAUCAGAGAGACAUGGCUAAGGUAGGACUGAUCAGAGAGACAUGGCUAAUGUAGGACUGAUCAGAGAGACAUGGCUAAGGUAGGACUGAUCAGAGAGAUUGAGACAUGGCUAAUGUAGGACUGAUCAGAGAGACAUGGCUAAGGUAGGACUGAUCAGAGAGACAUGGCUAAGGUAGAACUGAUCAGAGAGACAGAGACAUGGCUAAUGUAGGACUGAUCAGAGGCGUGGCUAAGGUAGGACUGAUCAGAGAGGUUAUUAACUCUGUGUACUGUAGGACCCUGUAUUAACUCUGUGUACUGUAGGACCCUGUAUUAACUCUGUGUACUGUAGGACCCUGUAUUAACUCUGUGUACUGUAGGACCCUGUAUUAACUCUGUGUACUGUAGGACCCUGUAUUAACUCUGUGUACUGUAGGACCCUGUAUUAACUCUGUGUACUGUAGGACACUGUAUUAACUCUGUGUACUGUAGGACCCUGUAUUAACUCUGUACUGUAGGACCCUGUAUUAACUCUGUGUACUGUAGGACCCUGUAUUAACUCUGUACUGUAGGACCCUGUAUUAACUCUGUGUACUGUAGGACCCUGUAUUAACUCUGUGUACUGUAGGACCCUGUAUUAACUCUGUGUACUGUAGGACCCUGUAUUAACUCUGUGUACUGUAGGACCCUGUAUUAACUCUGUGUACUGUAGGACCCUGUAUUAACUCUGUGUACUGUAGGACCCUGUAUUAACUCUGUGUACUGUAGGACCCUGUAUUAACUCUGUGUACUGUAGGACCCUGUAUUAACUCUGUGUACUGUAGGACCCUGUAUUAACUCUGUGUACUGUAGGACCCUGUAUUAACUCUGUGUACUGUAGGACCCUGUAUUAACUCUGUGUACUGUAGGACCCUGUAUUAACUCUGUGUACUGUAGGACCCUGUAUUAACUCUGUGUACUGUAGGACCCUGUAUUAACUCUGUGUACUGUAGGACCCUGUAUUAACUCUGUGUACUGUAGGACCCUGUAUUAACUCUGUGUACUGUAGGGCCCUGUAUUAACUCUGUACUGUAGGACCCUGUAUUAACUCUGUGUC
Molecule: long non-coding RNA, 2717 nt
Organism: Oncorhynchus keta (chum salmon)
Lineage: Eukaryota; Metazoa; Chordata; Actinopteri; Salmoniformes; Salmonidae
Exons: 5
Source: RefSeq, a predicted model, not a curated record